UGGGGAAUAUUGCACAAUGGGCGCAAGCCUGAUGCAGCCAUGCCGCGUGUAUGAAGAAGGCCUUCGGGUUGUAAAGUACUUUCAGCGGGGAGGAAGGGAGUAAAGUUAAUACCUUUGCUCAUUGACGUUACCCGCAGACGAAGCACCGGCUAACUCCGUGCCAGCAGCCGCGGUAAUACGGAGGGUGCAAGCGUUAAUCGGAAUUACUGGGCGUAAAGCGCACGCAGGCGGUUUGUUAAGUCAGAUGUGAAAUCCCCGGGCUCAACCUGGGAACUGCAUCUGAUACUGGGAAGCUUGAGUCUCGUAGAGGGGGGUAGAAUUCCAGGUGUAGCGGUGAAAUGCGUAGAGAUCUGGAGGAAUACCGGUGGCGAAGGCGGCCCCCUGGACGAAGACUGACGCUCAGGUGCGAAAGCGUGGGGAGCAAACAGG
This 429-nucleotide ribosomal RNA is filed under the name Chloroflexota bacterium. RNAcentral describes it as "Chloroflexi bacterium partial 16S ribosomal RNA". It matches the Rfam family "Bacterial small subunit ribosomal RNA", at positions 355 to 776 of the family's 1533-position model. Lineage: Bacteria; Bacillati; Chloroflexota. The record is from RNAcentral.